GGUAAUUGAAUCAGAGAGGAAAGGAGAGUCGUGCAUGGAAUCAAACAGAAUGCGGCUGGUUUGAUAGAGUGAAAAUGACUAGACACGCUCAACAAGUCAGGGAGCAUCGAUGGAAUGAAAGACAGUUAAUAUUUCAGGUCCGUGAUCUUUUCCUAGAGCUUCAGCAGUUUGGUUUUUGCAAUUGAUCUCAUCAUUGCCUCAGAUCUACUUUCCCAUCGGGUAUCCAUAAUCCUGGACCAACUAGACAUCACUUAAAAGAUACCUUCUUCCUCCCUGGUGUCAACUUUGCAAACCUUCUUUGAACUGCUUUCAAUGCAUGUAAGUCACAAGAUGAGGACUGCACCUAGUGUGACAGGCACUCGCAGCAGAACAGAGAAAUCAAUGAGAAACUACACACAAAGACUGACAAACAACGAAAGUGCAAAAGAAGGCGAACUGCAAACAAAAGUAAAAUAAAUAAAUAAUACCGA
This is a long non-coding RNA of Mobula hypostoma (lesser devil ray), 470 nucleotides long. RefSeq lists it as uncharacterized. The transcript is spliced from 3 exons. Lineage: Eukaryota; Metazoa; Chordata; Chondrichthyes; Myliobatiformes; Myliobatidae. The record is from RefSeq and is a predicted model, not a curated record.